This 465-nucleotide ribosomal RNA is filed under the name uncultured Klebsiella sp. Its description in RNAcentral is "bacterial SSU rRNA". It matches the Rfam family "Bacterial small subunit ribosomal RNA", at positions 338 to 795 of the family's 1533-position model. Lineage: Bacteria; Pseudomonadati; Pseudomonadota; Gammaproteobacteria; Enterobacterales; Enterobacteriaceae. The record is from RNAcentral.
CCUACGGGCGGCUGCAGUGGGGAAUAUUGCACAAUGGGCGCAAGCCUGAUGCAGCCAUGCCGCGUGUGUGAAGAAGGCCUUCGGGUUGUAAAGCACUUUCAGCGGGGAGGAAGGCGUUAAGGUUAAUAACCUUGUCGAUUGACGUUACCCGCAGAAGAAGCACCGGCUAACUCCGUGCCAGCAGCCGCGGUAAUACGGAGGGUGCAAGCGUUAAUCGGAAUUACUGGGCGUAAAGCGCACGCAGGCGGUCUGUCAAGUCGGAGGUGAAAUCCCCGGGCUCAACCUGGGAACUGCAUUCGAAACUGGCAGGCUAGAGUCUUGUAGAGGGGGGUAGAAUUCCAGGUGUAGCGGUGAAAUGCGUAGAGAUCUGGAGGAAUACCGGUGGCGAAGGCGGCCCCCUGGACAAAGACUGACGCUCAGGUGCGAAAGCGUGGGGAGCAAACAGGAUUAGAUACCCGGGUAGUC